Bicyclus anynana (squinting bush brown) is the source of this 504-nucleotide long non-coding RNA. RefSeq lists it as uncharacterized. The record is from RefSeq and is a predicted model, not a curated record. The transcript is spliced from 2 exons. Lineage: Eukaryota; Metazoa; Arthropoda; Insecta; Lepidoptera; Nymphalidae.
GCCAUCAAUUGACUUCUCUCUCCCAAGAUGAAAAUUCUGUUGUUCUGCGUCGCUCUAAUUGCGUGCGUGUGCGCUGCCUACGCGAUGCCCGCGUGGAUAGAUGAAGCCCUGGGGUCUGCCCAGGAAGCGCGCGCCGCGGGGACUGCGAGGCAUGCACAACACCCACUGCUGGGCUGGGGCAGGCAUGCACAACACCCACUGCUGGGCUGGGGCAGGCAUGCACAACACCCACUGCUGGGCUGGGGCAGGCACGCACAACACCCACUGCUGGGCUGGGGCAGGCAUGCGCAACACCCACUGCUGGGCUGGGGCAGGCAUGCUAGCAUACCCUACUAGCAACGAGCGUCUGACUAUUACGAACCUGUGAUUGAAAAUCUUCUUGAAUGCUAAUUACUCGUAAUUUUUUCUAGUUUGACUGCUGUAGGUAAUCCAAAAAGAUUUUAGCUUCGUAGUAAAAUGUAAACUGCGUGUAAUUGUUUUGUUUAAUAAAGCAUUUUUAAAUUA